RNAcentral lists this ribosomal RNA (436 nucleotides) under uncultured bacterium. Its description in RNAcentral is "partial 16S ribosomal RNA". It matches the Rfam family "Bacterial small subunit ribosomal RNA", at positions 30 to 506 of the family's 1533-position model. The record is from RNAcentral.
AGCGAACGCUGGCGGCAGGCUUAACACAUGCAAGUCGAGCGGGCAUCCUUGUGGUGUCAGCGGCAGACGGGUGAGUAACGCGUGGGAACGUGCCCUUCGGUUCGGAAUAACUCAGGGAAACUUGAGCUAAUACCGGAUACGUGCGAGAGCAGAAAGGUUUAUCUGCCGAAGGAUCGGCCCGCGUCUGAUUAGCUAGUUGGUGAGGUUACGGCUCACCAAGGCGACGAUCAGUAGCUGGUCUGAGAGGAGGAUCAGCCACACUGGGACUGGGACACGGCCCAGACUCCUGCGGGAGGCAGCAGGGGGGAAUAUUGGACAAUGGGGGCGAGCAUGAUCCCGCCAGGCCGCGUGAGUGAUGACGGCGUUAGGGUUGUAAAGCUCUUUUCUCCGGGACGAUAAGGACGGGACCGGAGGAAGAAGCCCCGGCUAACUUCGU